Molecule: transfer RNA, 63 nt
Filed under: Apatides fortis
Lineage: Eukaryota; Metazoa; Arthropoda; Insecta; Coleoptera; Bostrichidae
Description: tRNA-Leu
Source: RNAcentral
UCUAAUAUGGCAGAAUAGUGCAAUGGAGUUAAGAUCCAUAUAUAAGGGUAACCUUUUUUAGAA